Molecule: ribosomal RNA, 442 nt
Filed under: uncultured bacterium
Lineage: Bacteria
Description: partial 16S ribosomal RNA
Rfam family: Bacterial small subunit ribosomal RNA
Source: RNAcentral
CCUACGGGUGGCAGCAGUGGGGAAUUUUGGGCAAUGGGCGCAAGCCUGACCCAGCAACGCCGCGUGAAGGAAGAAGGCUUUCGGGUUGUAAACUUCUUUUGUCAGGGAAGAGUAGAAGACGGUACCUGACGAAUAAGCUACGGCUAACUACGUGCCAGCAGCCGCGGUAAUACGUAGGUGGCAAGCGUUGUCCGGAUUUACUGGGUGGAAAGGGCGUGUAGCCGGGUUGGAAAGUCAGAUGUGAAAUCCUUCGGCUUAACCGCCGAACUGCAUUUGACACUGGUGAUCUUGAGUACUGGAGAGGAAGAUGGAAUUCCUAGUGUAGCGGUGAAAUGCGUAGAUAUUAGGAGGAACACCAGUGGCGAAGGCAGUCUGCUGGACAGCAACUGACGGUGAGGCGCGAAAGCGUGGGGAGCAAACAGGAUUAGAUACCCCGGUAGUC